Tarenaya hassleriana is the source of this 492-nucleotide long non-coding RNA. RefSeq lists it as uncharacterized. The record is from RefSeq and is a predicted model, not a curated record. The transcript has 3 exons. NCBI's taxonomy places the organism in Eukaryota, Viridiplantae, Streptophyta, Magnoliopsida, Brassicales, Cleomaceae.
UGGGACGACAUCUAGGGUUCCGUUUUAUAAGUAUCUGCUUCGCACCCCAGAGCCAUCUUCUCGACGGCUCGCAGGAAUUCAGAUUCGAAAAUGCCUAAGCAAAUCCGCGAGAUUAAGGAUUUCCUUCUGACGGCAAGAAGGAAGGAUGCUCGAUCAGUGAAGAUUAAGAGGAGCAAAGAUGUCGUCAAGUUCAAGGUCCGGUGCUCAAAGUACCUCUACACUCUCUGCGUUUUCGAUCAAGAGAAGGCCGACAAGCUCAAACAGUCUCUUCCUCCAGGUCGGAGUGUGCAGGACCUGUGAGAUUGAGAAAGGGUUAUUUUGAUUGGUAAGAAAAGCGAAGCCGCCUGCUUAUUUAGGUUUGGAUCAAUGUCAUGUCGUUUUUCAUUUGGUUGUUCUGAAGUUACUCGGAAUGCUGGAAGCGGUCUUGCUUUGUCUUUUCUAGUAGUUUCAGAUUCAUGCCCUCAUGUUGAUUUGUUCUCCCCGUUUUCUUCU